Pogona vitticeps (central bearded dragon) is the source of this 3558-nucleotide RNA transcript. It is a transcript of the gene named transcription factor 4, with no coding region annotated. The record is from RefSeq and is a predicted model, not a curated record. NCBI's taxonomy places the organism in Eukaryota, Metazoa, Chordata, Lepidosauria, Squamata, Agamidae.
CUCCCCUCUUUCCCCCCUUCGAGUUCGGGGAGAGCUUUUCGCGUGGCGCCAGCGGGGUCUCUCUUUUUCCCCCCCUUUCGCGCUCUCGAUCUCUCCUGCGUGUUGUAUGUGCGGUUGGUGGAUGCCGUGAUUUCGAGCAAUGAAACCGAGAGCUCGGGGCUGUGGUCGGAAAGGGAGCCCCUUCUCUUCUCUUUCGGCCGGUUUGUGUGAUUUUGCUAAAAUGCAUCACCAACAGCGAAUGGCUGCCUUAGGGACGGACAAAGAACUCAGUGAUUUACUGGAUUUCAGUGCGAUGUUUUCACCUCCUGUGAGCAGUGGGAAAAAUGGACCAACUUCUUUGGCAAGUGGACAUUUUACUGGCUCAAAUGUAGAAGACAGAACUAGCUCAGGGUCCUGGGGGAAUGGAGGACAUCCCAGUCCAUCCAGGAACUAUGGAGAUGGGACUCCUUAUGAACAUAUGACAAACAGGGACCUUGGAUCACACGACAAUCUAUCUCCUCCUUUUGUGAAUUCCAGAAUACAAAGCAAAGCUGAAAGGGGAUCCUAUUCAUCAUACGGGAGAGACACAAACCUUCAGGGUUGCCACCAGCAAAGUCUCCUUGGAGGUGACAUGGAAAUGGGCAACCCAGGCGCACUCUCACCCACCAAACCUGGCUCUCAGUACUAUCAGUAUUCUAGCAAUAACCCACGGAGGAGGCCUCUGCACAGUACCUCUGUGGAAGUACAAACAAAGAAGGUUCGAAAGGUCCCUCCAGGUUUACCAUCUUCAGUUUAUGCUCCUUCUGCAAGCACUGCCGACUACAAUCGGGAUUCACCAGGAUACCCAUCCUCAAAACCAGCAGCCAGCACUUUUCCUAGUUCUUUCUUCAUGCAAGAUGGUCAUCACAGCAGUGAUCCGUGGAGCUCCUCCAGUGGGAUGAAUCAGCCUGGUUAUUCUGGGAUGUUGGGCAAUUCUUCUCAUAUUCCACAGUCCAGUAGCUAUUGUAGUCUUCAUCCUCAUGACCGCUUGAGUUACCCAUCACACUCCUCAGCAGACAUCAAUUCCAGUCUUCCUCCAAUGUCAACUUUCCAUCGCAGUGGCACAACCCAUUAUAGCGCAUCUUCCUGUACACCACCUGCAAAUGGAACAGAUAGCAUAAUGGCAAACAGAGGAAGUGGAGCAGCAGGAAGUUCACAGACAGGCGAUGCACUGGGAAAAGCACUUGCAUCUAUCUACUCUCCAGAUCACACCAACAACAGCUUUUCAUCAAAUCCUUCAACUCCUGUUGGUUCUCCCCCUUCUCUCUCAGCAGGCACAGCUGUUUGGUCUAGAAAUGGAGGGCAAGCAUCAUCAUCUCCCAAUUAUGAAGGUCCCUUACACUCUUUGCAAAGCCGGAUUGAAGACCGCUUGGAAAGACUGGAUGAUGCUAUUCAUGUUCUCCGGAAUCAUGCAGUGGGGCCUUCAACUGCCAUGCCUGGUAGUCAUAGCGACAUGCAUGGCUUAAUAGGGUCCUCUCAUAAUGGAGCAAUGGGAGGUCUUGGGUCAGGAUAUGGGACAGGCCUUCUUUCAGCCAAUAGACAUUCGCUAAUGGUUGGGGCUCAUCGUGAAGAUGCAGUUGGCCUCCGUGGCAGCCAUUCGCUUGUGCCAAACCAGGUUCCCGUUCCGCAGCUGCCAGUACAGUCUGCCACAUCUCCUGACUUAAACCAGCCUCAAGAUCCAUACCGAGGCAUGCCAACAGGACUUCAAGGACAAAGUGUCUCUUCAGGGAGUUCGGAAAUCAAAUCUGAUGAUGAGGGAGACGAAAACCUCCAGGACGCAAAGUCUUCUGAUGACAAGAAGUUAGACGAUGACAAGAAGGAUAUCAAAUCAAUUACUAGGUCAAGAUCUAGCAAUAAUGAUGAUGAAGAUCUUACACCGGAGCAAAAAGCAGAGCGUGAAAAAGAAAGAAGAAUGGCCAACAAUGCUCGUGAGCGCCUCCGUGUCCGUGACAUCAAUGAGGCUUUCAAAGAGCUGGGCCGAAUGGUACAGCUCCACCUGAAAAGUGACAAGCCCCAGACCAAACUUUUGAUCUUGCAUCAAGCUGUGGCUGUUAUCCUCAGCUUAGAGCAGCAAGUCAGAGAAAGGAAUCUGAAUCCUAAAGCAGCAUGUCUGAAAAGGAGGGAAGAAGAGAAAGUAUCUUCAGAUCCUCCUCCACUUUCUUUGGCAGGACCCCACCCAGGAAUGGGAGACACAUCAAAUCAUAUGGGACAGAUGUAAAAAGAAGGUCCAAGUUGCCACAUUUUCUUCAUGUAAAACCAGAGACCACUUCCUUAACAGCUGUAUUAUCUUAAAACCACAUAAACACUUAAUCCCCCUUUUUGUAAUAUAAUAAGACAAGUCUGAGUAGCUACAAAUCACAGACGCAAGAGAUUCCAGCAUUCCCAAUACGAAACAGGAAAAGACAAGAGAAAGAAAAAGUGCAACUUGAGGGACAUCUCUCUUCAACAUAUCAUUCAGAAUGUUUCAAGAGUAUGUUAGGAGCUGUAAAUGCACAGCCAAGAGACUGAAUGGCAAUCUUCUCCACACUGUGGGACAAUGCAUUUGUGCCUAAACUUCUUUUGGAAAAAAAAAUAUAAUUAAUUUGUGUCACAGGAAGUACUGCUUUUGACCGAACUAAUAGGUGGCGUUGUCAUCAGAGACAGAACUUCACAUGCAAUGGGUUUAAACGUGCCAUUGGUGUUCUCAGAAGUACUACAUUCCAGAUGCUGUAUAAAACUGAAGUUCUGGCCAUCUUGAGUUCUUCUCAAAACAAAGAGUGUUCUAGUGGUCUCUUCACACUCAUCCUUUCAGUAGCUGAUAAGAAUCUGUUUUCUGGACACAACUUGUAGUAAAAGCAUCUGUCCUUUACUUAUGGCCCAAACCAUUGUGUAUUUUGGCUAUGCAGUGUAAUAUAGUUGUUGAAAAUCUGGCCCACAUUUGGCCUUGAAUUACAGUUGGUUAAGAAAGUGUAAGUUUGAAUUCCUCUGUAAAGUCAUAUCCUUUGGAAUGGAAGGUGCUAUAUAAAUGUAAAAUGGCGUUCAUGAUCAUCAGUAUGUAGCUUUUCUGUAAAUAUAGCACCUGUAUUUCACUUGAAAACUGUCAUGUACAUAUAUAAUGCACCUAUGGACAAUGGGUGAAGGUCAUGAAGGUGCUAACAUGUAUGCAAAAAAUAAAUUGAACUAUGUAAAGAAUUAUUCCACCUGAAAAAAAAGCAAGAUACAAUCUAUCCAAUUCAACUUUUAAGGACUGGAAAAAAAUGUAAAUUGACAUAGCAUUGCUGGUAGUGAACACCUUCAGAAAGUUUUAUGUGGUAAUGAGAUUAUUUUCAUGUCUGUAGGCAGAAUGACCUCUGCCUUGCUAUUGCAAUUUGACCUGUACUAAAGAGCCAAGCAAAGUGGUCAUUUAUCUCUCUGCCCCCUUCCCUUCCCCAUGGAACAUUUGUUGAAAUUGUACAUUAUAAAUGCUAACUGAUUGUAUUUAGAUCUUUGUUAAAAGGGGGGAAAGAAGUACGGUAAUAAAUGCUGGUUCACCUUACUGCAUCCUAUCAGUCCGGAAGGUUU